RNAcentral lists this ribosomal RNA (370 nucleotides) under Salmonella enterica subsp. enterica serovar Typhimurium var. 5-. Its description in RNAcentral is "bacterial LSU rRNA". It matches the Rfam family "Bacterial large subunit ribosomal RNA", at positions 119 to 529 of the family's 2925-position model. The record is from RNAcentral. Lineage: Bacteria; Pseudomonadati; Pseudomonadota; Gammaproteobacteria; Enterobacterales; Enterobacteriaceae.
UGGGGAAACCCAGUGUGAUUCGUCACACUAUCAUUAACUGAAUCCAUAGGUUAAUGAGGCGAACCGGGGGAACUGAAACAUCUAAGUACCCCGAGGAAAAGAAAUCAACCGAGAUUCCCCCAGUAGCGGCGAGCGAACGGGGAGGAGCCCAGAGCCUGAAUCAGCAUGUGUGUUAGUGGAAGCGUCUGGAAAGGCGCGCGAUACAGGGUGACAGCCCCGUACACAAAAGCGCAUGUGCUGUGAGCUCGAUGAGUAGGGCGGGACACGUGGUAUCCUGUCUGAAUAUGGGGGGACCAUCCUCCAAGGCUAAAUACUCCUGACUGACCGAUAGUGAACCAGUACCGUGAGGGAAAGGCGAAAAGAACCCCGG